This 73-nucleotide transfer RNA is filed under the name Bos taurus (domestic cattle). It matches the Rfam family "tRNA". Rfam says of the family: Transfer RNA (tRNA) molecules are approximately 80 nucleotides in length. Their secondary structure includes four short double-helical elements and three loops (D, anti-codon, and T loops). The record is from Rfam by way of RNAcentral. RNAcentral also lists the same sequence under 2 other names. Lineage: Eukaryota; Metazoa; Chordata; Mammalia; Artiodactyla; Bovidae.
UCCCUGGUGGUCCAGUGGUUAAGGCUCUGCGUUCCCAAUGCAGGGGGUCUGGGUUUAAUCCCUGGUCAGGGAA